AUGGAAUAUAUGUACACACAGGAUAUUACAUAAUCUACGUGUGUGUGCAGUAUAUUACAUUU
RNAcentral lists this microRNA precursor (62 nucleotides) under Petromyzon marinus (sea lamprey). RNAcentral's name for it is "Pma-Mir-4571_pre stem-loop". The record is from RNAcentral. Lineage: Eukaryota; Metazoa; Chordata; Hyperoartia; Petromyzontiformes; Petromyzontidae.